UGUUAUGCUGUGGUCAAAAAUGUCAAAAGGACAAUUAAGAAACAACUGUGACUGGAAAUAUUUUCCAAAGCAUGUUGCAAGUGGAGGCACAUCCGAGGAUGGGAACUGAAGCCAGGGCCCCGAGCACCUGUAGCCAUUAAAGGCUGCCUGAUGUCCUUGCACAACUCACUCUCUAUAAUUUUGGAUUGUCACCAGCCAGUCACCUUUCAAAAGCCAGUGCUGGCCAACAACAGUCUGGAUAAUUCAACUCUGUUCACUCUUUCUCAGACUUUUGGCUAAUAUCAUGUGUGCAGAUUCAAAUAAUAUGAAACCUACUAUUUUACACAAAUUAUCUCCUUCAAUUCCAGUCUUUCUAUUUAUUUCAUCCAAAUGGAACCAAUUAAUAAUCCUUCUGAGACAGUUCUCCCUCCCUUGCUUUAUCCUGGAUAACUUUCUAUACCCAGAGCCUCUGCCUUGUCCUGGUGCUCUGUAACCCCACACUGUCACUCCUCAGACCCCUGAGAGACACACGAGGAUCACGACUUUCCCCUGCCCACAGAGUGAGCCUGGUUUGCCUUUCUAGCCAGAGUGGCUCAGGUCCAUUUCUCAGACUCUUUAUGAGGAUAUU
This is a long non-coding RNA of Vidua macroura (Pin-tailed whydah), 607 nucleotides long. RefSeq lists it as uncharacterized. The transcript is spliced from 3 exons. The record is from RefSeq and is a predicted model, not a curated record. NCBI's taxonomy places the organism in Eukaryota, Metazoa, Chordata, Aves, Passeriformes, Viduidae.